RNAcentral lists this ribosomal RNA (497 nucleotides) under uncultured bacterium. RNAcentral's name for it is "partial 16S ribosomal RNA". It matches the Rfam family "Bacterial small subunit ribosomal RNA", at positions 28 to 507 of the family's 1533-position model. The record is from RNAcentral.
GACGAACGCUGGCGGCGUGCCUAAUACAUGCAAGUUGAGCGCUGAAGGUUGGUACUUGUACCAACUGGAUGAGCAGCGAACGGGUGAGUAACGCGUGGGGAAUCUGCCUUUGAGCGGGGGACAACAUUUGGAAACGAAUGCUAAUACCGCAUAAAAACUUUAAACACAAGUUUUAAGUUUGAAAGAUGCAAUUGCAUCACUCAAAGAUGAUCCCGCGUUGUAUUAGCUAGUUGGUGAGGUAAAGGCUCACCAAGGCGAUGAUACAUAGCCGACCUGAGAGGGUGAACGGCCACAUUGGGACUGAGACACGGCCCAAACUCCUACGGGAGGCAGCAGUAGGGAAUCUUCGGCAAUGGACGAAAGUCUGACCGAGCAACGCCGCGGGAGUGAAGAAGGUUUUCGGAUCGUAAAACUCUGUUGGUAGAGAAGAACGUUGGUGAGAGUGGAAAGCUCAUCAAGUGGCGGUAACUACCCAGAAAGGGACGGCUAACUACGUG